This is an RNA transcript of Brassica oleracea var. oleracea, 789 nucleotides long. It is a transcript of the gene named glutamine synthetase cytosolic isozyme 1-like, with no coding region annotated. The transcript is spliced from 6 exons. NCBI's taxonomy places the organism in Eukaryota, Viridiplantae, Streptophyta, Magnoliopsida, Brassicales, Brassicaceae. The record is from RefSeq and is a predicted model, not a curated record.
GACCCUUCCACUUCAUCGUCAUCGUUUCAACUCUUCUGAGAAUUACCGUUACUCAAAACCCUCUUUAAAUAUGUACAAUCUCAUAUAUUGCCAGUAAUAUCUUUCUCUGCCGUUUAGUUCAUCGUCAAUGAUCUUUUCGUUUGAAGACUCCGGCCCAUUCGCAUCCCUCCCACUGCUUUCUUCUAUUACGUAUACCCAGUUAACGUCAUAAUGGAAUAUGUUCUGAUUUUAGGCAAAAUGUCUGUUAUCUUCAGAUUUCUCUUCUGCUUUGUCUUUCCCUCCCUGUUAUACAAGAAAGCAUAUCAAAACACAUACCAUGAGAAGUCAUAUUAUGAACUUUGGCAACAACAUUCUGGUGAUGUGUGAUGCUUACAUGCCGGCUGGGAAUCCAAUUCCGACCAACAAGAGGCACAACGCUGCUAAGAUCUUCAGCAGCUCCAAAGUUGCCUCUGAGGAGCCUUGGUAUGGGAUUGAGCAAGAAUACACAUUGAUGCAAAAGGGUGUGAACUGGAAAUUAAUCAUCGAUUCUUCCAUUAGAUAAUGCUGAAGAUCUUACCAUGCCGACAAUGUACUGGCCAGUUUAAAUAAAGCUUUGAAGAGUUUCAGAUCCAAACUGCAGCUCAGAGUUUUAAGCGUAACAAGCUGGUUAGCAGAACAAUUCAGACAAAGAACUCAGGUGUCUGGAGAUGACACAAAGGUCUUGAUGGAAUUGAAGUAUGGUAAAGUGGAAGCAAACUUGAAUCCCUAAAGGGUGCUAAGGAGGCUGAAACAGAUGUUUGAGACUCGAAA